AGAGCUUGCUCUUUAUGAAAUCCAGUGGCAAACGGGUGAGUAACACGUAAACAACCUGCCUUCAGGAUGGGGACAACAGACGGAAACGACUGCUAAUACCGAAUACGAUUCUUGAGUCGCAUGACACAAGAAAGAAAGGGUGGCCUCUACUUGUAAGCUAUCGCCUGGAGAGGGGUUUGCGUCCGAUUAGGUAGUUGGUGAGGUAACGGCCCACCAAGCCGACGAUCGGUAGCCGGUCUGAGAGGAUGAACGGCCACAUUGGAACUGAGACACGGUCCAGACUCCUACGGGAGGCAGCAGUGGGGAAUCUUCCGCAAUGGGCGAAAGCCUGACGGAGCAACGCCGCGUGAGUGAAGACGGCCUUCGGGUUGUAAAACUCUGUGAUUCGGGACGAAAGAUAAGCAGACGAAUAAUCUGCAUAAGUGACGGUACCGAAAAAGCAAGCCACGGCUAACUACGUGCCAGCAGCCGCGGUAAUACGUAGGUGGCAAGCGUUGUCCGGAAUUAUUGGGCGUAAAGCGCGCGCAGGCGGCUACUUAAGUCCAUCUUAAAAGUGCGGGGCUUAACCCCGUGAUGGGAUGGAAACUGAGAAGCUGGAGUGUCGGAGAGGAAAGUGGAAUUCCUAGUGUAGCGGUGAAAUGCGUAGAGAUUAGGAAGAACACCGGUGGCGAAGGCGACUUUCUGGACGACAACUGACGCUUAGGCGCGAAAGCGUGGGGAGCAAACAGGAUUAGAUACCCUGGUAGUCCACGCCGUAAACGAUGGAUACUAGGUGUAGGAGGUAUCGACCCCUUCUGUGCC
RNAcentral lists this ribosomal RNA (801 nucleotides) under uncultured bacterium. RNAcentral's name for it is "bacterial SSU rRNA". It matches the Rfam family "Bacterial small subunit ribosomal RNA", at positions 75 to 847 of the family's 1533-position model. The record is from RNAcentral.